CCUACGGGAGGCAGCAGUGGGGAAUUUUGGACAAUGGGCGAAAGCCUGAUCCAGCAAUGCCGCGUGAGUGAAGAAGGCCUUCGGGCUGUAAAGCUCUUUUGUCAGGGAAGAAACGGUGAAAGCUAAUAUCUUUUGCUAAUGACGGUACCUGAAGAAUAAGCACCGGCUAACUACGUGCCAGCAGCCGCGGUAAUACGUAGGGUGCAAGCGUUAAUCGGAAUUACUGGGCGUAAAGCGUGCGCAGGCGGUUUUGUAAGUCUGAUGUGAAAUCCCCGGGCUCAACCUGGGAAUUGCAUUGGAGACUGCAAGGCUAGAAUCUGGCAGAGGGGGGUAGAAUUCCACGUGUAGCAGUGAAAUGCGUAGAUAUGUGGAGGAACACCGAUGGCGAAGGCAGCCCCCUGGGUCAAGAUUGACGCUCAUGCACGAAAGCGUGGGGAGCAAACAGGAUUAGAUACCCUGGUAGUCCACGCCCUAAACGAUGUCUACUAGUUGUCGGGUCUUAAUUGACUUGGUAACGCAGCUAACGCGUGAAGUAGACCGCCUGGGGUGGUACGGUUCGCGAGAGUUAAACGUACAANAGAGUGAGGCGNGAGAGNGCGACGGACGACGACGAGGGAGGAGG
This 622-nucleotide ribosomal RNA is filed under the name uncultured bacterium. Its description in RNAcentral is "bacterial SSU rRNA". The stretch from base 1 to 542 matches the Rfam family "Bacterial small subunit ribosomal RNA", at positions 338 to 873 of the family's 1533-position model. The record is from RNAcentral.